Molecule: ribosomal RNA, 1047 nt
Filed under: Triticum aestivum (bread wheat)
Lineage: Eukaryota; Viridiplantae; Streptophyta; Magnoliopsida; Poales; Poaceae
Description: partial small subunit ribosomal RNA
Source: RNAcentral
AUGAAUUUAUGUCUUUUAGCCUCUUGGAUCAGGAGAUAUUUCCUGGAUGAGGGCAAAAUUUGGAAACAAAUUAUUGAUGCCAAGUAUAAGACUCACAGCCCUAAUAUUUUUACUUGCCCGGAAAAUGGUGCCUCCCCAUUUUGGAAAGGAAUACUACGGGCUGCUAAAGCUGCCAAUGUAGGAUAUUCCUGGAUAGUGGGGAAUGGCAAGAAUUUUAGAUUUUGGGAAGACCAGUGGCUGGGACAUACUACCCUAGCUACCCAGUAUUGGGAGCUAUACUCUAUUACCAACGACCACAAUGUUUCUGUUAGUGAGGUCUGGGAUGGCACCAAUCUAAAAAUUACUUUUAGAAGGUGUUUCACCCAUAAGCUUCUAGCAGAGUGGGACGAUUUGUUCAGCCGCCUGGCUAAUGUAAAAUUAAAUGACGUUGAAGACACCGUGCGCUGGAAUUUUGAAGCCAAAGGUGUCUUUACUGUCAAAUCUUUUUACAACUUUAUCAACUUUAGGGGGAUUGAUCCGGGCAACCUUACAAUUAUUUGGAAAAUUAACAUUCCCCUUAGGAUCCAGAUCUUUCUCUGGCUCGUGGCCAAAAACAAACUUUUAACUAGAGACAAUCUACAAAAAAGACAUCAUGUAGAUGAUGCUACCUGCCUUUUUUGUGGAGAAUUUGAAUCUAUUGAUCAUCUAUUUUUUGGCUGCGUUGUUGCGAUAGAGCUAUGGAGAGGGAUUUUUGACAUAUCUAAAAAACAAGUUGGUAUGUCCAUUGAGAACAUGCUAGCUUGGUGGUUUAAACACAAAAAUCUCUCAGCAGACUGCAUGUUACAUUCUGCUGCCCUUUGGGCUCUGUGGAAUCAUCGCAAUGACAUUUGUUUCAAACAUGUUCCCUGGCUUGGGAUGCAGGUGUUGAGGAGGAAAACUGCUGCUAUACUAAGCAGCUGGAUGGUCCGAUGCUCAAGCGGUGCAAAAGAAAGAGGGAUGUACUUGGUGAGAAAGAUGGAGCAGGAAGCGCGUGCUCCCCCCCUCCUGAUGUGGCCAGACCCUGGCUAG